GAAAAGAAACCAACAGGGAUUGCCUCAGUAACGGCGAGUGAAGCGGCAACAGCUCAAAUUUGAAAUCUGGCCUCUUCGGGGUCCGAGUUGUAAUUUGUAGAGGAUGUUUCGGGUACCGCCCCGGUCUAAAUUUCUUGGAACAGAAUGUCAAAGAGGGUGAGAAUCCCGUCUUGGACCGGCGGUAGGGCCUAUGUGAAACUCCUUCGACGAGUCGAGUUGUUUGGGAAUGCAGCUCAAAAUGGGUGGUAUAUUUCAUCUAAAGCUAAAUAUUGGCCAGAGACCGAUAGCGCACAAGUAGAGUGAUCGAAAGAUGAAAAGCACUUUGAAAAGAGAGUUAAACAGUACGUGAAAUUGUUGAAAGGGAAGCGCUUGCAAUCAGACUUGAGCGCGGCGGUUCCCCCUUCCUUUUGGCUGGGUUAUUCCGCCGUGUCCAGGCCAACAUCGGUUCUGGGGGUCGGCUAAAGGCUCUGGGAAUGUAUCUUCCUUCGGGUUGACUUAUAGCCCAGGGUGUCAUGCGACCUCCCGGGACCGAGGAACGCGCUUCGGCUCGGACGUUGGCGUAAUGGUUGUCAGCGAC
Molecule: ribosomal RNA, 577 nt
Filed under: uncultured eukaryote
Lineage: Eukaryota
Description: eukaryotic LSU rRNA
Rfam family: Eukaryotic large subunit ribosomal RNA
Source: RNAcentral